GGCCUACGGGGCGCAGCAGUGAGGAAUAUUGGUCAAUGGACGAGAGUCUGAACCAGCCAAGUAGCGUGAAGGAUGACUGCCCUAUGGGUUGUAAACUUCUUUUAUAAAGGAAUAAAACGAGGCACGUGUGCCUUUUUGCAUGUACUUUAUGAAUAAGGAUCGGCUAACUCCGCGCCAGCAGCCGCGGUAAUACGGAGGAUGCGAGCGUUAUCCGGAUUUAUUGGGUUUAAAGGGUGCGCAGGCGGCACGG
Molecule: ribosomal RNA, 250 nt
Filed under: uncultured bacterium
Lineage: Bacteria
Description: partial 16S ribosomal RNA
Rfam family: Bacterial small subunit ribosomal RNA
Source: RNAcentral